GAGACCCCAGGUCAGGCGGGACUCCCG
This 27-nucleotide ribosomal RNA is filed under the name Arrhenatherum palaestinum. RNAcentral's name for it is "partial 26S ribosomal RNA". The record is from RNAcentral. Lineage: Eukaryota; Viridiplantae; Streptophyta; Magnoliopsida; Poales; Poaceae.